Non-coding RNA from Pelobates cultripes (western spadefoot toad), 794 nucleotides. NCBI's taxonomy places the organism in Eukaryota, Metazoa, Chordata, Amphibia, Anura, Pelobatidae. The record is from the annotation of a GenBank genome assembly.
GGCUCACCCACCAACUACAAAACCUACAACACAAAACACAAAACCCGAUGUGGCAUAAGGUAGAACAAAUUUGCACAUCAACAACACCAACCAAAAAACUCAUGUCCAUGAUAUAUGCAUCAGAACAUAUCCUGACUCCCAAACAGCCCUCCUCCUUCAUAUCAGCAUGGGAAAAAGACGUAGGCCACCCUUUAUCUGAAACCCAGUGGCUAGAUAUCUUUAAAGCGCACAAAUCACUAACCCUAUGCACAACUCACAUUGAACUAUCCCGCAAAUUGCUGUACAGAUGGUACCUAGUCCCCACGCGCCUCAAACACAGUUUUCCCAACACAUCAGAUAUCUGUUGGAGAAGCCAAAAAGAACGAGGCACAAUGAUUCACAUAUGGUGGCAAUGUCCAGCACUCCAACAAUACUGGCAACAGGUGGCAGACCUGGUGACACACUGCUCCGACACUAGACUACCACAGGCGCCCGAAACAUACGUGCUUCUACAUCUGCCACACACACAAACACCACAAAAAUAUCAAAAAUACCUAGCAUACCACAUCAUUAUAGCUGCCCUAACUGUCAUAAGCAGAAACUGGAAAAAAAACACUUCCCCCACAAUCGCCCAAUGCAUAGCGGUGAUAGAAACAAACAGAAGCUAUGAAAAGAUGGCGCGGGAAAAUAGACAAGCGAAUCCUCACUGGACCAAAGCAUGGGACACGUGGGACAUGAAAAAACCCAAAUAGAUAUAAACAGAAAAAUCAUCGAAAAUAACAUGGACCUCCCCGACCGGAGGCGACAUAACAUCC